UAAUACGGAGAAUGCAAGCGUUGUUCGGAAUUAUUGGGCGUAAAGCGCGUGUAGGCGGCUCAACAAGUCUGGCGUGAAAGCCUGAAGCUCAACUUCAGAAGUGCGCUGGAAACUGUCGAGCUUGAGUACUGGAAGGGGAAGGGGAAUUGUCGAGUGUAGAGGUGAAAUUCGUAGAUAUUCGGAAGAACAUCAGUGGCGAAGGCGCCUUCCUGGACAGAUACUGACGCUGAGACGCGAAAGCGUGGGAGCAAACAGGAUUAGAUACCCUGGUAGUCCACGCUGUAAACGAUGGGUGCUAGACGUCGCGGGUAACCAACCCUGCGGUGUCGAAGCUAACGCGAUAAGCACCCCGCCUGGGGAUUACGGCCGCAAGGCUAAAACUCAAAGGAAUUGACGGGGGCCCGCACAAGCGGUGGAGUAUGUGGUUUAAUUCGAAGCAACGCGCAGAACCUUACCCAGGCUUGACAUCCUCGGAACCUGGCCCAAAAGCUGGGGUGCUCGCAAGAGAACCGGGU
This 515-nucleotide ribosomal RNA is filed under the name uncultured Byssovorax sp. RNAcentral's name for it is "bacterial SSU rRNA". It matches the Rfam family "Bacterial small subunit ribosomal RNA", at positions 521 to 1032 of the family's 1533-position model. Lineage: Bacteria; Pseudomonadati; Myxococcota; Polyangiales; Polyangiaceae. The record is from RNAcentral.